AAGACUUGGGAGGCAUUAAACUUAGCGGCGAUGACGCCUUCGCCCAGAGCAUUCGGGCAACCCCUCUUUUGAAAUCAUGCUUAGCACAAUAGUGCCUCAUAGGGGAGACACUUCCAUGAACAACAUAAUGUGAAAAUGCAAUAAUGAAGGGCCAUGACCUGGGAAAAAAUGGUGCUGUGUUUUAAAACUGCAGUCAUUUCUUCCACAAGUCAAAUCAACAAAGAUCCUUUCCACUGAUGCCUGAGGAUAAUUCCAAGUUUUCUGAGAUACAGAAGGUGAGAACCAGCAGGGAUCUGAAGAGCCAAAUUCCAGAUGAGGAGAUGGGCUUGGAGGAGCUUGGAGACAGAACCCUUGACUUCUUCUAUGGGAGAGUGAGAUGCUGUGAACUGUUCAACCCAGCUACCAUUAAGAAUGUAGAAGUGAUAUCAGAGGGAUCAUAAUCAGUUGGAGAGACAUCGGCAGGAUGAAACAAAUAUCAGUGAUGCUAAGAGUUAGGAGCCAAUCAGAUAGAAGUCUAAAAUAUUAUAUGGCAGCCAAUCAGGAAGUUCAAUGUGAUUUGGGACUAUGUAAGCAAUGGGAUUAUAUAACAAGCAGGGGCAAAUAGGAUGCCCUAACCUGGAAUAUUGGACCUCAGGACUGAAAAGAAGUAAGCAACUGGAGGGAAUCCAGAGGAGAUCAUCUACAAUGAUGGUUUUAAAGCAAAAUAUGAACUUUAUAGUGUAGCCAAACCACAAAGUCAGACCCAAGGGGCAUGAUUAAAUCUACAAAUAGCUCGAGGGUCUAAACACCAAGGGGAAAGAGGAAUUUUGGCUGGAGAUAAGAAAAAUUUCAAGGGAUAAAGUUAAGAAAAGGGAAAUUUAGGUUUAACAGAAUAUAUCCUUUGGUAGUUAGACGUAUGUGUUUAGAGAACGGUAUUUCAAGGGAAUGGAAAGAAAACUGAUGAGUUUUCUAGGAUCUUUGAUAAGAGUCUACCUUGAUGUCAGACCAAGAACUCUAGAACUUUCAUUAG
RNAcentral lists this long non-coding RNA (1009 nucleotides) under Equus asinus (donkey). Its description in RNAcentral is "lncRNA (ENSEASG00005027856.1)". The record is from RNAcentral. Lineage: Eukaryota; Metazoa; Chordata; Mammalia; Perissodactyla; Equidae.